RNAcentral lists this long non-coding RNA (853 nucleotides) under Ictidomys tridecemlineatus (thirteen-lined ground squirrel). RNAcentral describes it as "lncRNA (ENSSTOG00000034803.1)". The record is from RNAcentral. Lineage: Eukaryota; Metazoa; Chordata; Mammalia; Rodentia; Sciuridae.
ACUCAGGGAAAUCUCGACCCACCCAGCAGAAAUGCUAAACCCACAUCCUCCUGCUUCGGUAAGCAAAGGUCCGAGCUAAUCAGGGUUUAGCAUCAUCUCCAGCGCAACUGUAGCUGGGGCUGGCUUCUGGCAAAUUGUUUCUUCAUGGAAACAUCAAAUGAGUGGAAAAACUCCAAGGAGCAGGACCAUCUGCUGCACUAUGACAGGCCCUGUGACAAAAGUAAUCCAUCAAAGCAAAAUGUCACGCACACGGAGUUGAUCUUGCAUUUUCUGCUCCGAUAAGAAAAAGGCCACUCAGGACUGACAAUGUGGAGGUUCUGAAUGUCUACCCUGAAGCCUCUAACUUCUCUUUCUUCUCAUUUCCCGCUUACAGGAGCAAAGUGGAAAUCCCUGACCAGCCUCUACCUUCCAUGGUAUCUAGGGCAGGGGCCCAAGAAACAAACACCACUGAUUGCCCGGGCUGCCAUUAUUUCACAAGCUUCAGCUGAACACAUUUCUAAGUCACAUUACUCUUCACCAAGGUUUGGUUUUCCUUUAGACCAGCAACUCCUAUAACAUCAGACAGAAUCUCAUUUCUUACCCUAAUGUUCAUGUUUUAAAGCUUUACAAGUGUUACAUUUCAACAGCAGGAAAAAUCCUAUUUCCCAUAAAAGCACAGAAAUCUCUACCCAAGGAAACCGUUUGCCAAUGAAAUGAAAUGUAAAGCUGAUGAUAUGGGUAAUGGUACUCUGAGUUUCCCAGCUUUUUUCAGUCUUCCUGCAUCCAAAGCCCAUUUCUAAAAUAAACUACAUAAACUCUCCAACAAAAGAAUGAAUUUGUGCGAUGCAUAAACAUCUAGACCCCGAGUCUUCAU